GUGCUGGGAUUACAAGCGUGAGCCACCGCGCCCGGCCUAAAUAAAUGAUACACUUCUUAAAAUAAAAAGUGUUUAAAAAUCUUUUUUAACACAGAAGAAAAAUUCUUUUAUACUCUACCACAAGUAUCAGAUAAUCACUGAGAACACUUUGUCAGCUUCUUACCUUGAAGAAGGUCAUUGUUGAUCCAUCUCUAACCGCCCCAUAUUCUAUCUUGGUUUGCUUUGCCAGAUCAUCUGCCGAAUCUAUGGGGGAUUCCAUUCUCUCUACUGUCAAGAAGGCAGCCAGAUUGGCCGUGUAGGAUGAAAUGAUGAUUAGGGUGAAAAACCACCAUAUCCCUCCAACUAUUCUGGUCGAUAGAGCUUUGGGCAUCAGCUCUGAUCCUGUGAUGGUAUCAUCAGAGUAAGGGUGUUAAACACAGUCAGAAGGAAAGGGAAGAUGUACAGUUCGACACUAUUCUAGGAAGAUCAACCUGUAAAAGACUUACCGUCUUGUAGGUAGAUGAAAUAAAUGCAUUUUAUAGAAAAUGGAGCAAAAUCUUAAGGAUUAUUUUCAAAUCAUUAAUCACUACUAUUGCUUUAACUAUAAUUUAUCAGUAGCUGAUGGUAUUAAAACAGUUUUAACCUGGAGGCAUUCCAUGUCUAAAAUUUAGUUAGUUUAGUUGCUUAGAAUUGAAAAGUCAACCCCAAGACUUUUUGCCUUUUAUUACUGUCUAAAUGCAUCUUAUAGUGUGAAGUAAAAUAUUCUGCGUCUUUGUAUAACUAUGAAAAUAUUUGAAAUGCUAACAUUUUUAUUUAAGGUUAAAGAAUGAGAGCUACUUGUAAAAUAUUAACAUGCCAUUUAUCACAUAUACUUUAAUAAAACAUUGGGAUUUUACAAAUAAAAUAAGAUGCAGCCAUACUUGACAGUGGAUGAAUUAGUUUUUAUUGUCUUAUGUUACCUUAAAAGCUACAAUUCUUUUUUCUACUGUAGAUUUUUAUUUGGCUAAAAAAACACAUUCUCUGCAACGCAUAAUUUUGUACUUCAAUAAAAUGCUGUUUCUUAACUACACUUCAAAGACAGGCUGUUCCUUAGGUGAAAGAAGACUUUCCUGGUAAGAAUAUACAUUUUAGAUGUCAUUCAGAUGAUUUGAAAUUAUGUUUAAAUGAUAAAAUAGAGGCACUUAAUGUGUUUUCCAAGGAAACCUUCCUCUCUAAAAGAAAGGGUUUAUGAGCUAAGUUUACUGUCAUAAAAGACAAACAUCUUGAAAACGGUCUAGUUCAAUUUUGCUCAAACUCAGCAGCAGAAUUAGAAUAAAUGAGAAGUACAAUUAGAGUUCACUCCAGUUGUACUGAUUCACAAGUGGAUUUUGGCUUGUUCAUCUGCCUGAAAUUUGCCAUUGGUUCUGUACUUAGCAUAUCCUCCAUGAACCUGAAGGCAUGACAGAGUUUAUCUGACCAGAUAAAAAGUGAAAGAAAAACACCCUAAAUUAAAAAUCCCGAAGAGUGAAGUACAGUAGGUCAGCUGUCUGGUCUAUAGGAUCCCUUUACUAUACUGAUAGGGUGUGUUGAAGCUCUGUCGUUAAUAAUGGCUUAAGAUGGAAAGGAAAAUUGGAGUUCACCAGUCUACCAAUAAAUGAAUUUGUGCUAAGGUUUAAUCUAUAAACAGAUGCAAAUACGGCUCAGGAAAUCACAGCCAGCUCAAGGCCAGUGAUAAUCAGAUCAAGGUCGCCAGAGUUUCUGGGCUUUGAAUUAACGGAUAUAUUCUCCUAAUGCUAUUACGUAUCUUUGUGUUUUAUUCCCUUUUAAUGAGGGAAAUGGUUUGACAGCGAUUUGUGUUUCCUUCUGUCGUUUGUUUGAAUUUGAGUGGGUAAUAUUACACAGACUUAUAAUAGUUUUCCAUUAAAUUGCCUCCAAGGAUUUAGUGGAAUGGUUUGCUGCUGUUGUUUUAAUAUUGUGGUUUAAUGGGAUUUAUAUGCCUGUGGGUGUGUGUGUGUUUAAUGCCCAAGGUUGUUUCAUAUCUUUGUACUUAAUUGAUCUAGCAGUCUUGUGGCAAUGUAAUAUUAUUUUAGCUCUUUAGUUGGUUAUCAUUAAAAUACCAUUUAUUUCAUAAAAUAGCCAUAGGAAAUAAAUAACAAUUAAUAGAUAUAUUUUUCUUAGCUUAUGGGUGCAGAUUUUCUGCUGUAAAUUUAUUCUUUCAUUAUUUGGUUGCAUAUGAAAACAUAAGGUUUUCACUUAUUUGUAUAUUUGUAUAAUUAUGUAUUAUAUGGCAUUAAGAGUGGACAGACAGGUGAACAACAGGCUGUUGACAUGUAAUAAUACUAAUUCACAUCUUUCACACUUUAGAAUGCAUAUUUAAACUUUUGGAUAAAGUUACCUUAGAAACUUAAUAAAAAUGUUAAUAGAAACGUAUUGAGAUUACAUUUUAAACCCUUGUUAGAUGGCAUCAAUUAGACUUCUCAAUGUUUCUUCAUGUUUUCUAUUUUUAUCUAAUUUUUGUGAAUUUUGUAAUUCUCCAUGUUAGUUAGAAUUAUUUAGAAAUGGCUUCUUUCAAGUAGAGAUGAUUUGUGUAAGUUUAGUACUCUAGAGGAUGAAAUUAUACAAACAUUAAAAGUUGAGUAAAACAUUACUAGAAAAUAUUUGGGAUGAGAGACAAUACUUGCUGAAGUCUCUUUAGUGCCUUUUACGGCAGACAUGACAGCCAAUCCUGAUCCAGACUUUGCUCACGCUCUGUAGAAAAGAGAAAGUCUGAUCAUCACAUUUAAAAAAAAUUCAACAAAAUGUUUUCCAAUUGAGUACAGUGACAAGCUUCUGCUAACAAGAGAGAGCAACAGAGGAUAACUACCUGGUUCAACGCCACGUGCUAGAGACAGAUGCACUAACAGUCACAAGUACCUCAAGUUUGUAUCUGGAAAGAUUUGUUGCACCUGACAAAUGUUUGUAAACUUCUUGAAUGACAAGCAGAGUCUGGUUGGGGCUGACUGUCAUGUACCCAAGGUAGUGGUAACUAACAGACACUGCAUCCCACAGUGUGCUGUGGAUGAUGGUAAACUCCAAACAGGUAAAAGAUGAAAGAUAAAUUCCGGGGGUGGGUGCACUCAAUGACAGAAGGCAGUCACAGUCAUAUACCUGCACAGGCCAGCUGCAUGCAUGCUCUGUGAAACCUAAAAGUAUAUAUAUGUGUGUGUGUAUAUAUAUAUAUAUAUGUGUGUAUAUAUAUGUAUAUAUAUGUAUAUAUAUGUGUAUAUAUG
Molecule: long non-coding RNA, 3227 nt
Filed under: Homo sapiens (human)
Lineage: Eukaryota; Metazoa; Chordata; Mammalia; Primates; Hominidae
Description: HSALNT0403693
Source: RNAcentral